Molecule: ribosomal RNA, 424 nt
Filed under: uncultured prokaryote
Description: bacterial SSU rRNA
Rfam family: Bacterial small subunit ribosomal RNA
Source: RNAcentral
UGGGGAAUAUUGGACAAUGGGGGAAACCCUGAUCCAGCAAUGCCGCGUGGGUGAAGAAGGCCUUAGGGUUGUAAACCCCUUUCAGCGGGGAAGAUGAUGACGGUACCCGCAGAAGAAGCCCCGGCUAACUCCGUGCCAGCAGCCGCGGUAAUACGGAGGGGGCUAGCGUUGUUCGGAAUUACUGGGCGUAAAGGGCGCGUAGGCGGUCCAUCGAGUCAGGCGUGAAAGCCCCGGGCUUAACCUGGGAAUUGCGCUUGAUACUGGUGGACUGGAGAUCGGGAGAGGAGAGUGGAAUUCCCAGUGUAGAGGUGAAAUUCGUAGAUAUUGGGAAGAACACCAGUGGCGAAGGCGGCUCUCUGGCCCGCAUCUGACGCUGAGGCGCGAAAGCGUGGGGAGCAAACAGGAUUAGAUACCCCCGUAGUCC